UUCCCAUAGGUUUUGUUUUUGCAUCUUUAACUCUCUCAAAAAAUUUUCUUUUAUAACUAGUUAAGGGACCCACGCGAUGCUGUGGAUAGUUAUUUUAAAAUUUAAUUUUAAAAAUUAGUUAUAAAAAUCAAUUUUAGAAUUUAAAUGGUGCAAUAAGUACAUCAAAAAAUUUUAGUAGCCAUAGUAGUACCUCAUUAGUUAGUGAAAUAAUUUUAGUAGGUAUCGUAGGCCCCCAGUAGUUAGUGAAUGAGAAGAGAAAUUAUUAUUUGUGAUUCUCGUAAUUAAUUUUCAUCAAAUAUAAAAUUAACUUAAGAUGCAUUAAUUUUUUUUAUUUUUUAAUGUACAAUUUAUAUGUGAAUGCUCAAUAUUAUAUUUAAUACCAGUAGUCUAAAUUAUUUAACAUUUAUUUAUAUAUAUUUUACAUUUUAUAAAAAUAAAUAGUAAAUUAUAUAA
This 453-nucleotide long non-coding RNA is filed under the name Ananas comosus (pineapple). RNAcentral describes it as "long non-coding RNA (ACOM_LNC005280)". Lineage: Eukaryota; Viridiplantae; Streptophyta; Magnoliopsida; Poales; Bromeliaceae. The record is from RNAcentral.